This 505-nucleotide ribosomal RNA is filed under the name uncultured bacterium. RNAcentral's name for it is "partial 16S ribosomal RNA". It matches the Rfam family "Bacterial small subunit ribosomal RNA", at positions 28 to 507 of the family's 1533-position model. The record is from RNAcentral.
GACGAACGCUGGCGGCGUGCCUAAUACAUGCAAGUAGAACGCACAGUUUAUACCGUAGCUUGCUACACCAUAAACUGUGAGUUGCGAACGGGUGAGUAACGCGUAGGUAACCUGCCUGGUAGCGGGGGAUAACUAUUGGAAACGAUAGCUAAUACCGCAUAAUAUUAAUUAUUGCAUGAUAAUUGAUUGAAAGAUGCAAUUGCAUCACUACCAGAUGGACCUGCAUUGUAUUAGCUAGUAGGUGAGGUAACGGCUCACCUAGGCGACGAUACAUAGCCGACCUGAGAGGGUGAUCGGCCACACUGGGACUGAGACACGGCCCAGACUCCUACGGGAGGCAGCAGUAGGGAAUCUUCGGCAAUGGACGAAAGUCUGACCGAGCAACGCCGCGUGAGUGAAGAAGGUUUUCGGAUCGUAAAGCUCUGUUGUAAGAGAAGAACGGGUGUGAGAGUGGAAAGUUCACACUGUGACGGUAUCUUACCAGAAAGGGACGGCUAACUACGUG